ACUUAUACGAAUAAGGACCGGCUAACUCCGUGCCAGCAGCCGCGGUAAUACGGAGGAUCCGAGCGUUAUCCGGAUUUAUUGGGUUUAAAGGGUCCGUAGGCGGGCAAAUAAGUCAGUGGUGAAAUCCUACAGCUCAACUGUAGAACUGCCAUUGAAACUGUUAGUCUUGAAUAUAAUUGAAGUGGGCGGAAUGUGUCAUGUAGCGGUGAAAUGCUUAGAUAUGCCACAGAACACCGAUUGCGAAGGCAGCUCACUAAGUUAUUAUUGACGCUGAGGGACGAAAGCGUGGGUAGCGAACAGGAUUAGAUACCCUGGUAGUCCACGCCGUAAACGAUGUAUACUCGUUGCUGGCGAUACACAGUCAGUGACCAAGCGAAAGUAUUAAGUAUACCACCUGGGGAGUACGCUCGCAAGAGUGAAACUCAAAUGAAUUGACGGG
Molecule: ribosomal RNA, 439 nt
Filed under: uncultured Flavobacteriia bacterium
Lineage: Bacteria; Pseudomonadati; Bacteroidota; Flavobacteriia
Description: bacterial SSU rRNA
Rfam family: Bacterial small subunit ribosomal RNA
Source: RNAcentral